UUAAAAUACCCUUGGUCACCAUCAUUUUGUAAUUACUUAUUGUUUAUGUUUGUUGCAGAUGAAUCAUGAAAUGAGGUUGCAUUUUGACCAGGAAUUGGAGAUAAAUAUUCAAGAUGCCGUCAAUAUGAUGACACCCAACAUUAUAAGGGUGGCUCGUAGUGGGAGUCAGAGGGGCCUUCUGUCAAGCCUGCUGGGAACUGAGACUAACAAAGAUGAUAUGUUACAGCCACACUUGCACUCUCACACACACAAUUGUAUUAAUAAAACUACAUUAUUUUAUGCAGAGAUUAUUUAUUUCUUCUGAUAUUCCAGACCUGGAAAAGAAUGCAGCAAUACUGGUUCUGCCUGCCCUAUUCAAGGAGAGCUCCAAGUUCCUUUACUGUGUAGAUGACGAACCAGCAAGCUCAUUCCCAACCACCAUCUUCCAUGAUGCAGGGAAUCCCUCCUCCUUGCUGAGAAAGCUUCAAUAAAGUUGGAUGGAGUCACUAUCACAAGUGGAGAAAUGUGUCUGCUCGAGGUGUAUUUCCUGUUUCGAGGAGUACCCCAAACAGAUACUCUCACACACUCUCAUAUAUAGAACAUUAUUUGUUCAAACUAGGAAAGGGUAAGAAAAGAGUGUCUAUACCGCUCUCAAAAUGUACAAUCAGCUUUCUCAGUGAAUAUUGACAGUGAUUUAAAUAGCUAUUUUCAAGAAAUUGUUUGCAAGGAUGAAAAAUCUUAUGACGAUUGUUCUUUGGUUUUUGCUGCUUGAAUUUAAUCUGUCACUUAUUCAGUAAAAUGUAUUGGUAAUUCCAAAUGUUGAGGAUUGCCCAGUGAUUUGUACAUAUGUAAAUCUAUCUAUCUAAUCUAUUUAAACUGAAGGAGGAAUUGUAUUUUUAUUUCACAUGUGGUGCUAUUAUAUUUGAAUGACUGUGUGCAAGGACAAUGAUUAAAUAAAAAAACAUUAUCUGUAGAAUUAAAAAUGUCAAUCUUUGUUGGAGAUUGUUGCCAUGAAGAAA
This is a non-coding RNA of Labrus bergylta (ballan wrasse), 998 nucleotides long. The record is from RefSeq and is a predicted model, not a curated record. NCBI's taxonomy places the organism in Eukaryota, Metazoa, Chordata, Actinopteri, Labriformes, Labridae.